Molecule: ribosomal RNA, 253 nt
Filed under: uncultured bacterium
Lineage: Bacteria
Description: partial 16S ribosomal RNA
Rfam family: Bacterial small subunit ribosomal RNA
Source: RNAcentral
UACGUAGGGGGCAAGCGUUGUCCGGAAUCAUUGGGCGUAAAGCGCGUGUAGGCGGCUUGGUAAGUCUGCUCUGAAAGCCCGGGGCUCAACCCUGGGAGGCGGGUGGAUACUGCUGAGCUCGAGUCCGGAAGAGGCGAGUGGAAUUCCUGGUGUAGUGGUGGAAUGCGUAGAUAUCGGGAGGAACACCAGUGGCGAAGGCGGCUUCCUGGACCGGUUCUGACACUGAGGAGCGAAAGCGUGGGGAGCGAUCCGG